AUUGAACGCUGGCGGCAUGCUUUACACAUGCAAGUCGGACGGCAGCACAGAGAAGCUUGCUUCUUGGGUGGCGAGUGGCGAACGGGUGAGUAAUAUAUCGGAACGUACCGAGUAAUGGGGGAUAACUAAUCGAAAGAUUAGCUAAUACCGCAUAUUCUCUGAGGAGGAAAGCAGGGGACCUUCGGGCCUUGCGUUAUUCGAGCGGCCGAUAUCUGAUUAGCUAGUUGGUGGGGUAAAGGCCUACCAAGGCGACGAUCAGGAGCGGGUCUGAGAGGAUGAUCCGCCACACUGGGACUGAGACACGGCCCAGACUCCUACGGGAGGCAGCAGUGGGGAAUUUUGGACAAUGGGCGCAAGCCUGAUCCAGCCAUGCCGCGUGUCUGAAGAAGGCCUUCGGGUUGUAAAGGACUUUUGUCAGGGAAGAAAAGGCUGUUGCUAAUACCGACAGCUGAUGACGGUACCUGAAGAAUAAGCACCGGCUAACUACGUG
This 490-nucleotide ribosomal RNA is filed under the name uncultured bacterium. Its description in RNAcentral is "partial 16S ribosomal RNA". It matches the Rfam family "Bacterial small subunit ribosomal RNA", at positions 30 to 507 of the family's 1533-position model. The record is from RNAcentral.